Drosophila melanogaster (fruit fly) is the source of this 129-nucleotide small nucleolar RNA. The record is from Ensembl. NCBI's taxonomy places the organism in Eukaryota, Metazoa, Arthropoda, Insecta, Diptera, Drosophilidae.
AUGGAGACAAAGUUUACAUGUUAACAAUAUUAUCGUUUUCGUGUCUACAAUGCUCCAAAAUCAAUAUAUUCGAUCGAAUCAUCCGAAGCAGUCUUAUAUUUCCUUGGAUGAUUUCUUUGGUGCACAGUG